RNAcentral lists this ribosomal RNA (696 nucleotides) under uncultured Chroococcales cyanobacterium. RNAcentral's name for it is "bacterial SSU rRNA". It matches the Rfam family "Bacterial small subunit ribosomal RNA", at positions 94 to 825 of the family's 1533-position model. The record is from RNAcentral. Lineage: Bacteria; Bacillati; Cyanobacteriota; Cyanophyceae; Chroococcales.
AGUGGCGGACGGGUGAGUAACGCGUGAGGAUCUGCCCUUAGGAGGGGGACAACAGUUGGAAACGACUGCUAAUACCCCAUAUGCCGGGAGGUGAAAUAAGAUUUGCCUGAGGAUGAACUCGCGUCCGAUUAGCUAGUUGGUGGGGUAAGGGCUUACCAAGGCGACGAUCGGUAGCUGGCCUGAGAGGAUGAUCAGCCACACUGGGACUGAGACACGGCCCAGACUCCUACGGGAGGCAGCAGUGGGGAAUUAUCCGCAAUGGGCGCAAGCCUGACGGUGCAAGACCGCGUGCGGGAUGAAGGCCUGUGGGUUGUAAACCGCUUUUCUCUAGGAAGAAUGAUGACGGUACCUGAGGAAUCAGCCUCGGCUAACUCCGUGCCAGCAGCCGCGGUAAUACGGAGGAGGCAAGCGUUAUCCGGAAUUACUGGGCGUAAAGCGUCCGUAGGUGGUUUAUCAAGUCUGCUGUCAAAGACUGGAGCUUAACUUCGGGAAGGCAGUGGAAACUGAUAGGCUAGAGUGCGGUAGGGGUAGGGGGAAUUCCCAGUGUAGCGGUGAAAUGCGUAGAUAUUGGGGAGAACACCGGUGGCGAAAGCGCCCUGCUGGGCCGCAACUGACACUGAGGGACGAAAGCUAGGGGAGCGAAAGGGAUUAGAUACCCCUGUAGUCCUAGCUGUAAACGAUGGAGACUAGGUGUUG